Molecule: ribosomal RNA, 497 nt
Filed under: uncultured bacterium
Lineage: Bacteria
Description: bacterial SSU rRNA
Rfam family: Bacterial small subunit ribosomal RNA
Source: RNAcentral
GUGCCUAACACAUGCAAGUCGAACGGGGAUUUGUUUCGGCAGAAUCCUAGUGGCGAACGGGUGAGUAACGCGUAGGCAACCUGCCCUCCGGCCGGGGGACAACACUCCGAAAGGGGUGCUAAUACCGGAUACGAAGUCUGUGCCGCAUGGUACGGAUUUGAAAGAUGGCCUCUAUUUAUAAGCUAUCGCCGGGGGAUGGGCCUGCGUCCGAUUAGCUGGUUGGUGGGGUAACGGCCUACCAAGGCGACGAUCGGUAGCCGGUCUGAGAGGAUGAACGGCCACAUUGGGACUGAGACACGGCCCAGACUCCUACGGGAGGCAGCAGUGGGGAAUCUUCCGCAAUGGGCGCAAGCCUGACGGAGCAACGCCGCGUGAGUGAGGAAGUUCUUCGGAACGUAAAGCUCUGUUGUUCCUGACGAACCUCCCCUCUAUCAACAACGGAGGGGACUGACGGUAGGGAACGAGGAAGCCACGGCUAACUACGUGCCAGCAGCGGC